GGGGUUAUAGCUUAGAUGGGAGAGCAUCUGUUUUGCACGCAGAAGGUCAUCGGUUCAAUCCCGAUUAACUCCA
This 73-nucleotide transfer RNA is filed under the name Candidatus Pinguicoccus supinus. It matches the Rfam family "tRNA". From Rfam's summary of the family: Transfer RNA (tRNA) molecules are approximately 80 nucleotides in length. Their secondary structure includes four short double-helical elements and three loops (D, anti-codon, and T loops). The record is from Rfam by way of RNAcentral. Lineage: Bacteria; Pseudomonadati; Verrucomicrobiota.